RNAcentral lists this ribosomal RNA (495 nucleotides) under uncultured bacterium. RNAcentral describes it as "partial 16S ribosomal RNA". It matches the Rfam family "Bacterial small subunit ribosomal RNA", at positions 28 to 507 of the family's 1533-position model. The record is from RNAcentral.
GACGAACGCUGGCGGCGUGCCUAAUACAUGCAAGUAGAACGCUGAAGGAGGAGCUUGCUUCUCUGGAUGAGUUGCGAACGGGUGAGUAACGCGUAGGUAACCUGCCUGGUAGCGGGGGAUAACUAUUGGAAACGAUAGCUAAUACCGCAUAAGAGUAGAUGUUGCAUGACAUUUGCUUAAAAGGUGCAAUUGCAUCACUACCAGAUGGACCUGCGUUGUAUUAGCUAGUUGGUGGGGUAACGGCUCACCAAGGCGACGAUACAUAGCCGACCUGAGAGGGUGAUCGGCCACACUGGGACUGAGACACGGCCCAGACUCCUACGGGAGGCAGCAGUAGGGAAUCUUCGGCAAUGGACGGAAGUCUGACCGAGCAACGCCGCGUGAGUGAAGAAGGGUGUGGGAUCGUAAAGCUCUGUUGUAAGAGAAGAACGAGUGUGAGAGUGGAAAGUUCACACUGUGACGGUAUCUUACCAGAAAGGGACGGCUAACUACGUG